Molecule: long non-coding RNA, 1634 nt
Filed under: Ananas comosus (pineapple)
Lineage: Eukaryota; Viridiplantae; Streptophyta; Magnoliopsida; Poales; Bromeliaceae
Description: long non-coding RNA (ACOM_LNC014540)
Source: RNAcentral
UNCUGCACACUCCCCUGCCUCUCUCUUACAUACAUAAAACAGGACAUCAUGCGAGGCUCAGGAUUGUGAAUCCCCUAAAAGUAAAGGACCACGUCAAAUACUGCAUGGACUGGAUUUCUGCAACAAUAGCCGCAGGUUGCAGCGCUUGCCUUGAGGCCGCAGCGAUUGCCUCGAGGCCAUUUUAGGUGCCAUGCCACUACGGAGAAAUUCAUAAGAGAAGGCAGCAGCAAAAAGAAAGGGGAAAAAAUAUCCAGCAUCGCAAAAGCAGCAGCAAACAGAGAAGAACCAGAUUUUAAAAAAGUUACGAAUAUAAGUAAGAAAACAGAAAGAACUUAAAAGCCCAGGAAGGAAAGGCAAAAAACAGCCUAAGACCACAAAAAAUGAUCAACCAAACAUGUUCCUUCAAACAGCAUGGAAAGAGAAACUGCAAGGAAAGUAACACACACACACAGAAACGGCAAGGAAAACAAUAUGUUUAUAUAAACAAUAUGUUUAUAUAUAUAUAUAUAUAUGUAUAAAGCUAUAUAUUUAUAUUAGUGUAUUCAUCUGUUGGUGGAGAUGGAAGCCCACAUGUAAAAAUUUAUGUCAAUUGGCAGCAAGAGUAGGUAUGAGUAGGCAUGCGAAUCUCAACACUCCAUUAGAGAGGUAGAUUAUCAUUUCAAAAACACCACAAACAUGUUCAAGACAAAAAAAAAAAAGGACCUAAAAGCUGUAAGAAAAUUAGAGUCAGAGCAUAGUAAUAACCUGCAUUGAUAGCAAUAAAACACUAACCAAUUCCAAUAGACAAAGUCUCCACAUCUGUUUACCUCGGAUCUGGGCAGGUUCGGCAACUUCUAUCAGCUACCCCAACACCUUCCUUUUACUCUGUAAGGGAUGAACAAAAUACCAAGGAAUUAUUGAUAUACUAACAUCGCCUCGCCCCGAAACGAAGCAGCCACAAAGAGAAGAAUAAGCAAAGAGAUAUAGAAACCAACAGUGCAGAAUCCAAAAAAUUGCUAGCAGAGUUUGUUUAAAUUUGUAAACUAUUUUAGCAAAGUUUGUUUAAAUUGUUAGCAAAGCUAAUUCAAAGUAACCAAUAGCUAUAAAGAACUAUGGUGGACAUCAUGUUAAAAAAUAAAUCUUGGCUGAAAUUUAUGCCUUUAAAAAUUUGAUACCAACUAAGAAAUUCCAGUAAGAAAAUGAGAAGGCCAUAAUCUGGAUAAGUGCAACAAAAAAUGUAAAUAAAGUUCAUAAAAUACAGAUUCAUGCGAGGCUCAGAAAAGCAAUCCCAACGGAAAGAGAACCGAAAACAUUCUAGUAAAAAAUGCAAAUGAGAAGGCCACAUUCUGGAUAAGAGUAAGAAAAAUGAAAGAAAAAAAUGUUCAUGCAUAAAAGCAAACACAAUGAAAAUCAGAGCUGAAAAAACUUUAGUAAAAUGCAAUUGAGAAAGUCACAUUUAUAGAUUCUCUCUANAAUAAUUAAAUAUUCAUAAUUUCUUAUGAGAUAAGGUUUUUAGUAGAUUUGAUCUAAUUGGAUAAGUAUAAAUAUUUAAUUGAAGAGAGAAAAUUUUAUUAGAUAAGAUUUUAUCUGAAGGGAUUUAUAUAUAGGUAUAUAUGUACAUCAAUGAAAGUGAAUAAAAAUAAAAAUAAAAAAGG